Molecule: long non-coding RNA, 2358 nt
Organism: Acanthopagrus latus (yellowfin seabream)
Lineage: Eukaryota; Metazoa; Chordata; Actinopteri; Spariformes; Sparidae
Exons: 3
Source: RefSeq, a predicted model, not a curated record
UUUGCUACCAUCCGGCAGACAUGUAUGUAUCAGACUGGGUUCAUUUUUGUAUAAUUUGUAACCACCAUUGCCUUUUGUAACUGUGGCUUUGUGGUGCCUUGGUCCUCGCACAGUUGGUUGGCCUGUGUCUUUUCUCAUUUUUUCAUCUUCCUUACUGUUGCACUGUCGGACCAGCCUGGUUAUGAUGAUUUGCAGCAGCAGUUGGCAUCGCAUGCAGUGUGCAACCGCGGCACACAAUGCAGGCACCACGGAGACGCUAAUGCAUGUGGAGAAAUGGAAAACAAUGUUUGCAAGAUGAAUACAUGACUUCUGCAAAACCACACCUAAUGUUCAAAGACCACAGAUUAAAAAAAGAUACAAGUAAAAUAUAGAAUUAAUGCACGUUCCUGAAAGAUCCUUCUUGCAAACGGCAUGUAGGUUCCGGUGGGUUGAAAUACAAUUGUAUCUCAACCCAUCUGUGUGAAACUGAAGGAUUAGGAUGUCAGAGAAUCAGCAAAUGUUGAAAGUGAUCUUGUUGUUGAAGGGUUAGAUGAGUACGCAACCUCUUUUCCUGGUUCACAUUACAGAGAACAUCCAGCUGCCCACCAAUGCUCACCUGUCUAACCUGUCUUUAUAUCAUUCCACCCAUUGGGUGACCUCAAUCCUACUUAUGCCCUUGUUAUCAUGAGUUGUCAUAGAACAUAUGUUCACAAGGCGGCCAUUUUCCUCUGACAUCACGCUCAGGGUGCGACGUUCAAACGUGGUACUGCUGUGUUCCAGCCAUACUUUGUAUUAAUCUGAAUCUGUAGAAGAGCUAAUGGCUAACAAAAGCAUUCCAGUUGCAAGCUGACAUUAUUGCUCAUCCAGUGCAUUUCACUCCCAGGCCGAUUGAAUGUGUCCAAGAUGUGGCCUGAUGUCUUUAGGAUACAUUUACAGCUUUCCUGUUUGACUGUGCAAGACUAUCAAACAGUAACGCUAGCUAGAAAGUGUUUGAAGCAAUGGAUCAUCAAAUAUUACCUGGAAAUACAGGCCGAAGUCCCUCCAAAUUUGCAGUAGUCUUUCAGUAGCUGAUCAGUACAGAAGUGGUGAAAUGAUUACGACUCUAAGAUUCCUCACCCUGACUGUGGCAUUACAGAAAAAUGGCCGCUGUGUGUAUAUGGCCUAUUGCCUACAACUUUAACCACUAUUUCAUUAUAUAUCCAUUUAGUUAAGUAACCAGCUGUGACGGCGUCGACUAGUAACGUUUUCAUGUUGUGAGUCCCUGUAGUGUAAUCGUGGUGAGAUGUGGUUCUGGAGACACCGACUGUAGCAGGAACUACCACAGAAGCAGUUCUGAGAAUGUUUCCAAGUGUUGGUAUGUCCUUCUGUUGAAAUCCAAAAGAGGGCUGAGUCCAGAAUGCCUGUGGUCCGAGAGGGGGGCCAAAAUUAGAAGGGUGUCCGGCUCAUGUUUUACACCCCUGGCCCACAUUCACUUCAAUGCAGUAAAUAAACUUCACAGAUUGUGUAUAUGAGAGGGAAAUAAAGGCAGAAUUAUAAUGUAUAAUAUAAUGUAGUAAUGACCAUAGAGUGCUCACAGGUGUGAUCCCAUCACAAGAUGAUCUCUUUUAUUUAUUUGCAGGCAUACUUCACUGUCAGGUGCUUAAAGUUAAUAUGUGGUUUUACAAAAAGAAAUGAUUUUGUGAUUAGAAUUAUGACACAGAAUUCAUGAGGGUCCUCCGAGCAGGAUUUCUGGGGAUUUCUACUGUAGACACUUUUUUAAAAAAAGCUCAAGACCCAUUUGUUCAGAUGUGCCAUUGUGUAAUUUUUCUAUUUUUUUAAUCUCUGUUUUUUUUUUUUUACCUGUAUAACAUAGAUUAUUGUCCCUGUGAAGCACUUUAUGACAUCUCUGCUCUCAAAAGGUGCUAUGUAAAUAAAGAUACUUACUGUUGAUUAUUUCAGUCUGUCAAUGGCAAUAUGCAUAGCACAAAAUAACAAUAAUAAUGAUAAUUUGUAUCAUUGCUUCUUGAUCAUGAAGUUAAAUAAUGUUGGCAACCUAUGUGUGACUGUAUGUGAACACAGCUAUUCCUUGAAUGUGCCUAUAAAAGGUGAGGAGAUCACAGAAAGCACACACUUUGGUGAAAUUGAGGGUUUAUAACAACAAAAGCACAUAGAAGAUCGUGUUCAAGGAAAACAAUUCCACAAACCCCAAAUCUGAUCUGUACGUGGAGCGGAGGGGAUAUAGGGUUUCCCCAUUGUGAAAGAAUGGUACAGUUUGUGCGGUUUCGGUGAAAUUAUCACCGCUACAUGGGAGACCAACUUCAUUUAAAGUUUGGAGUCAGUUUGUUUGCAGUGUGUCAGAAAGUGCUGCUCUUGUCUGGCCGGUAAUGCCUGCUGGGCCUC